UAAGUGGUGUUUGUAGUUCUUGGUAGUUAUCUUGGUGUAUUUUCUUACAUAAGUGGAACUUGAAAGCAGAACCUGCAAGCAAUUUCAUUGCCGGGAGAAUGCUGCAACAUUUAAACCACACCGCAGAGCAGACAGGAUCAUUUUCAUUUCAUGUCCUUCUCUAUCUGAGUGUGAACUGAGCCGUUUACAGGAAACCUUAUUGACAUUCUCCCCAGUGACGAGCGUUGGCGUAUUCCUUUAGCGCUACAGAACGGGCCUGUUUUUGAGACAUCUCAGGCUACACUACAAUGGGCCAUAGAAACCCAAUGAGACACAGCAGGCUGACUUCCACUGACCACGCUGAGCUGAUGGCUAUUAGUUCUCUGUGUAGAGCUAAAGGUGUUCUCACUACAUAAGUAACAGUCACAUGAAUAGAAACUGAACUUUUACAUAUGUAUCCCACGCUUCAGGGUGAUCCUUACAUGUUUAAUGGAAUGAGAAAAGACACCCAGGGGUUUCGUUUAGAACUCCCCAAACUCUGUUGAGGUUCUGGAAUUACAACGGCUCUUCUGGUGUCUGGAAUUACAACGGCUCUUCUGGUGUCUGGAAUUACAACGGCUCUUCUGGUGUCUGGAAUUACAACGGCUCUUCUGGUGUCUGGAAUUACAACGGCUCUUCUGGUGUCUGGAAUUACAACGGCUCUUCUGGUGUCUGGAAUUACAACGGCUCUUCUGGUGUCUGGAAUUACAACGGCUCUUCUGGUGUCUGGAAUUACAACGGCUCUUCUGGUGUCUGGAAUUACAACGGCUCUUCUGGUGUCUGGAAUUACAACGGCUCUUCUGGUGUCUGGAAUUACAACGGCUCUUCUGGUGUCUGGAAUUACAACGGCUCUUCUGGUGUCUGGAAUUACAACGGCUCUUCUGGUGUCUGGAAUUACAACGGCUCUUCUGGUGUCUGGAAUUACAACGGCUCUUCUGGUGUCUGGAAUUACAACGGCUCUUCUGGUGUCUGGAAUUACAACGGCUCUUCUGGUGUCUGGAAUUACAACGGCUCUUCUGGUGUCUGGAAUUACAACGGCUCUUCUGGUGUCUGGAAUUACAACGGCUCUUCUGGUGUCUGGAAUUACAACGGCUCUUCUGGUGUCUGGAAUUUUUUUUGUUAGUUUUCUUCUGACUCUCUUGACAGAGUUGGACAUGAAUGUAUGUGUUGGCUAAAGCUUUUUGUUUGAUUUGAAAAUACAGCUUGUCAUGUGUUGCUGAAAGAGUUUAAAAUGUUGUACAUAGCAGGAAAGUCAUCCUGCAACAGGUUGAUCAAAUUAAGAUCCUACAUCUGUAUUGGGCAAUGAUUGAACAAUGAACUAUAUUUGAACUCACUAGCAGCUGCAAGUUCCAAAUACAUACUGUUGAUGACUGUUGUAGAUUAUUCUAAGGUUGCUAUGUACCGUAUAUCUUAGGUCAGCUAACAGUCAAUAGCCUUCCACACUGAGAGUUUAUUCUGUUUGUUUGUCAAUAUUAUUCAUUUCAAUGUCAAGAGUAGAGGACAGGGGAAUGUAUGUUGGCUUCCAAUUAGCCCUACUUACUGGACAUAGACGCCAUUUCAACUUCUAGUUUUGAUUUACAUUUGUUUGAGUUAUCAAGAAAUGUAAAUUCAAGGUGAAAUCAUGUCAUUGCAUGAAAACAAUAGGAAAUUCCCUUUUACGUUGAUGACUUUGACUCAACAUCAUCACAUAUCAUUUUUGUUGUUGAAAUGAUUCAAAAACCAUGUUGAUUCAACCAGUUCAGCAGAGAGGAAGUGGUGAGGUUGGAAAAUAACACUUAAUGCUUAUUUAGCUAGUGAGGCUAUAGCUAUAGGGUUCUUGCAUAUAUAUAUAUGGUACUGUAUAUAUGGUAAUGUAUAUAUGCUAAUUAAUUACUUAAAGAUCAUACAAUGUGAUUGUCUGGAUUUUUGUUUUAGAUUCCGUCUCUCACAGUUGAAGUGUACCUAUGAUAAAAAUGGCAGGCCUCUACAUGCUUUGUAAGUAGGAAAACCUGCAAAAUUGGCAGUGUAUCAAAUACUUGUUCUCCCCACUGUAUAUAUAUAUAUAACCAGUACCAGUCAAAACUUUGGACACACCUACUCAUUCCAGGCUUUUUCUUUAUUUGUACUAUUUUCUACAUUGUAGAAUAAUAGUGAAGACAUCAAAACUAUGAAAUAACACAUGGAAUCAUAUAGUAACCAAAAAAUAUAUUUUAUAUUCUUCAAAGUAGCCACCAACUCCAAAUAGGCCUUGAUGACAGCUUGGCACACUCUUGGCAUUGUCUCAACCAGCUUCACCUGGAAUGCUUUUCCAAUGGUCUUGAAGGAGUUCCCACAAAUGCUGAGCACUUGGCUGCUUUUCCUUCACUCUGCGGUCCAAUUAAUCUCAAACCAUCUCAGUUGGGUUGGGGUCGGGUGAUUGUAAAGACCAGUUCAUCUGAUGCAGCACUCCAUCUCUCUCCUUCUUGAUCAAAUAGCCCUUACACAGCCUGGAGGUGUGUUGGGUUAUUGUCCUGUUGAAAAACAAAUGAUAGUCCCACUAAGCGUAAACCAGAUGGGAUGGCGAUUGUUGCAUAAUUCUGUGGUAGCAAUGCUGGUUAAGUGUGCCUUGAAUUCUAUAUAAAUCACCAACAGUGUCACCAGCAAAUCACCAUCACACCUCCUCCUCCAUGCUUCACGGUGGGAACCACACAUGCAGAGAUCAUCCGUUCACCAACUCUGCGUCUCACAAAGAUACGGCGGUUAGAACCAAAAAUCUCAAAUUUGGACUUCCAAUGGUCUAAUGUCCAUUUUUCGUAUUUCCUGGCCCAAGCAAGUCUCUUCUUGUUAUUGGUGUCCUUUAGUAGUGGUUUCUUUGCAGCAAUUCAACCACGAAGGCCUGAUUCAUGCAGUUACCUCUGAACAGUUGAUGUUGAGAUGUGUCUGUACUUGAACUAUGUGAAGCAUUUAUUUGGGCUUCAAUUUCUGAGGCGGGUAAUUCUAAUGAACUUUUCCUCUGCAGCAGAGGUAACUAUGGGUCUCCCUUUUCUGUGGCGGUCCUCAUGAGAGACAGUUUCAUCAUAGCGCUUGAUUGUUUUUGUGACUGCACAUGAAGAAACUUUUAAAGUUGGUGAAAUUUUCCAGAUUGACUGACCUUUAUGUCUUAAAGUAAUGAUGUACUGUUGUUUCUCUUUGCUUAUUUGAGAUGUUCUUGCCAUAAUAUGGACGUGGUCUUUCUCAAACCAAGCUGCUUACCUAUUGCAGAUUCAGUCUUCCCAGCCUGGUGCAGGUCUACAAUUUUGUUUCUGGUGUCCUUUGACAGCUCUUUGGUCUUGGCCAUAGUGAAGUUUGGAGUGUGACUGUUUGAGGUUGUGGACAGGUGUCUUUUAUACUGAUAACAAGUUCAAACAGGUGCCAUUAAUACAGGUAACGAGUGGAGGACAGAGGAGCCUCUUAAAAGAAGAAGUUACAGGUCUGUGAGAGCCAGAAAUCUUGCUUGUUUGUAGAUGACCAAAUACUUAUUUUCCACCAUAAUUUGCAAAUAAAUUCAUAAAAAAAUCUUACAA
Molecule: long non-coding RNA, 3539 nt
Organism: Oncorhynchus nerka (sockeye salmon)
Lineage: Eukaryota; Metazoa; Chordata; Actinopteri; Salmoniformes; Salmonidae
Exons: 2
Source: RefSeq, a predicted model, not a curated record